Bubalus bubalis (water buffalo) is the source of this 542-nucleotide long non-coding RNA. RefSeq lists it as uncharacterized. The record is from RefSeq and is a predicted model, not a curated record. The transcript has 5 exons. NCBI's taxonomy places the organism in Eukaryota, Metazoa, Chordata, Mammalia, Artiodactyla, Bovidae.
GCAAGGGCCACAAUGAGAGGUGGCCAGGUGGGGCUUGCCUGAAGCUCUAAUGAGGAAGCUCCAGAUUGGAUGAUAGCAAAUCAACCCAUCAGACCUCUUCUAGAGUCUAAGUUUUGUGUAUACCCCUUGGAACUUAAGACAUUUUCAGUCUAAACUUUGGACUCAUUUGUCCUGAACCUUUGUGAAGAUGGCGCCGCUGGAAGUAAAGGAGAAAGCUGGGGUGUCAGCUAAGGAGAGAAGUGUCCCGCAGUGAAUGCCAGGCUUUGGCUUUUGGAGGUGUGGGGACCCCCACCCGGAGGGAACGCCACCUCUAUCCAGGCUGGAGGAGUGUACCCCAGCGGCCAGCACAGGGGGCCAUCAAUGACGCUGGCCUGGAAGCUCAGUGAAAAGACCAGGAGGAUGGCAGAUCUCCUGGAGCAGGGGGUGCAGCGAGGUCUCGGUCUCGGUCUUCUUGAUUCGCUGCAUCAUCUGGGCGUGCUCCGUGACCAGCUGCCGCAGGUCGGCCAUCUUCUGCAGCAACUUGGGGAAGAGGUACUGCGCGU